Molecule: ribosomal RNA, 444 nt
Filed under: Gemella sp. oral taxon G07
Lineage: Bacteria; Bacillati; Bacillota; Bacilli; Caryophanales; Gemellaceae
Description: bacterial SSU rRNA
Rfam family: Bacterial small subunit ribosomal RNA
Source: RNAcentral
GACGAACGCUGGCGGCGUGCCUAAUACAUGCAAGUCGAGCGAAGUUUUUCUGGUGCUUGCACUAGAAAAACUUAGCGGCGAACGGGUGAGUAACACGUAAAGAACCUGCCUCAUAGACUGGGACAACUAUUGGAAACGAUAGCUAAUACCGGAUAACAGCAUUAACUGCAUGGUUGAUGUUUAAAAGUUGGUUUUGCUAACACUAUGAGAUGGCUAUGCGGUGCAUCAGCUAGUUGGUGGGGUAAAGGCCUACCAAGGCGACGAUGCAUAGCCGACCUGAGAGGGUGAUCGGCCACACUGGGACUGAGACACGGCCCAGACUCCUACGGGAGGCAGCAGUAGGGAAUCUUCCGCAAUGGGCGAAAGCCUGACGGAGCAACGCCGCGUGAGUGAAGAAGGAUUUCGGUUCGUAAAGCUCUGUUGUUAGGGAAGAAUGAUUGUGUA